Long non-coding RNA from Octopus bimaculoides (California two-spot octopus), 858 nucleotides. The record is from RefSeq and is a predicted model, not a curated record. Lineage: Eukaryota; Metazoa; Mollusca; Cephalopoda; Octopoda; Octopodidae.
AAAUAUAAAUUAUAACAAGAUGUAGAAAAUUAGAGAACGUAUGAUGCGGAUUUCAAAAUAAAGUAACUGACAACACUCUGAACUUUGUAUACUUAGUUGCCUGAUCUGUGCAAAGAUUAAUAGGGUACAGUUGUGAACUGACAAUAAUAGAAAGCCACGUAAAGUUGCUGAAAGUCUCAGGAUCCGAGAAGUCACACUGAAGAAAAACUGGAUAGCACUUUCUGAUUUCAUUAGAGACAUUAACUGAUCACAUAGUUUUGUUUCAAGAACUCUCAAGCAUUAUGAAGAAACAAGCUUGUUUGUGUUAUGAGGAAUAUGUAGGGGGACACCACAGAAAACGAGCGCGUGGUGAGACCGUGUAAUUCAGAGGCUUUCGCUUAACGAUCGAUUCAGGAUUGUUGUAGGAAAUUCUUGCCAAUGAGCGAAUACUUUGGACGGACGACAACUGGUGGUUUGUGUUCUUCAGUGACGGAUAUAUGUUCAAUUUGGUUGGCUCCAGUAAUAGACAAUACGUGAGACGUCUGAAAAUGGAAACAUUGCUCCCUAAAUGUGUGAAGAAAUCAAUAACGUGCUCACAAAGUUUUCGACGAUUGUUUUCACCCAGACAGGUAUCGCGAAUGUCGAAAUUACUUUAUAGGAGUCAGGAAAUGUUUUAAAAACACUUCUAACAAUGACGAGAGAUCCGUGGAAACACUAUUCCUUACUGUAAUUUCCUUUAAUAUACUAAUGCAAAUCUAAAGGAAGAUAAUGAUGUAAUACCGAUUUACCUCCGUUAUUCUGUAAUUUGUAUUGGUUCUACAUUAAUAUGUAUUUGAGAUGCGGUGUAAAAAUGAUGGGGAAUUAAACGCUGAAAUCUAA